This 571-nucleotide long non-coding RNA is filed under the name Elaeis guineensis (African oil palm). Its description in RNAcentral is "long non-coding RNA (EGUI_LNC071193)". Lineage: Eukaryota; Viridiplantae; Streptophyta; Magnoliopsida; Arecales; Arecaceae. The record is from RNAcentral.
UAUCGUGAUUUCUAUCACAAUAUCAUUGAAAUUUCUUUCGAUGGAUCAGAACCAUUUCAAUUCUACCCAUCAAGGAUCAUCGAUCAUCAAGAUUAUGCUCGUGGGUCUCACAAUUCAUCAGUGACAUCUAAUAGCAUGUAGUGGCAAUCCAGUAGAAUAAAAGGUGAUGAACCUCUAAGUGCAGUUAGCAUAUGAUACAGUUCCUCUAUCAUAAGUUCCAACCAGUUGGCAGAUCAUGAAUAAAUCGUUUAACCUCAACAUCGGUCAUAUGAUAGAUUCAAUUAGCUUGAGUCCAUCUGUGAUUCUCAUGAAAAUUUUUUUCCAUCAAUCACACUUCUAUGGUCAUAGAUUUAAGGAUUCAGCCUCUUAAAUCCCAGAGAACUACUCUCCUCUGUUAGGAUCGAUAGAUUCCAUCUAGAUGCGUAUCCUAUUUCUACAGUGGAUCAACCAUCGUCAACAUCCUCUACAAAGACUCAUUGAGUUAAUGUUUAUGUAUAGUCAAAUUCCAGCAGCCUCAUUGCGAGCAGUUAUGGCACCGCUGGUUAAAGGUCUAGUCACACAAUUGCAGCAU